GUGUGGCCCAGACAGGGCACUGUCUGUGGCCCCAGGGGUUGAGGACCCCUGGCUUCAACAACAGAAAUGUACCAUCUUACAGUUCUGGAGGCCAAAGUCUGAGAUCCAGGGAGGGAAUUGGGAUCUGAAGAUGUUGCAUUCGAGGUCUCGGGGCUCCUGAUGAGCAGCCUCGGCCUGACUGGGGGCAGGCGUGAUGUCUGUGGCUCACCAUCUCCACCCUGCCUGCUGUGGAAUCUCCAUCACAACGACAGGUGCUUUGGAGGCCAGAGUGCAUGCGUACGGGCCCUGCACACGCUGAAUGUCACUGGGAACACGGACACACCCUGCUUCCAGGAGAAGAUAGAACACAUCGACCCCUUUUGCUCUCGCUCUGUUGCCCAGGCUGGAGUUCAGUGGCAUGAUCUUGGCUCACUGCAGCCUCGAACUCACAGGCUUAGGUGAUCCUCCCACCUCAGCCUCCUCAGUAGCUGGGACUACAGAGCCAUCCCCAGUGCAGGACAUGCUAUUGACUUCCAUGAGACAAACACCUACUUGGAAAUCAGGUUUUUUCUGUACCUUUUGAAGGAGCAGGAAUUUCCCAGCAUUUCCUGGACAAAGACGGAGGCUCCUGGGGCCUACAGAAAGGAGCUGGAGGUGCCUAGUGCAGGCUAGGAGGCCUCCUUUAUUGAGGUGACAUCCCUGGAUGCUGGCUUGGCGGAGGCUGGGGAGAACGCUGCCUCCCUGGAAUAGAAGAUGCCUUGGAAGCCCUGGGUGCAGGCUGGCCGGCUCUGCCUGAGCUGCCUGUCUUCAUUCCAUGGCUCUGCUUGUUAGAGGAGGAAGUUAGGCAGACAUGAGUGGCGCCCACCAGCCCAGGAAUGUCAGGUGACCAUCAGGUGAUGGUCAGGCAGUUGUUAAACUGUCUCUCUGAAAUGAUCAUUGGUUGCAGCUCACACCAGGGGAAGAUGGUCUCCCAAUAAAUAAAAAAACACCUGAAACUGGUGAUCAGCAGCUUCCCAAUAAGCUCUCGAGUUGGGCGAGUGGGCUCAAGCGUGCGCACUAAGAGGCAAAAUGGCGGAUGUAUGAACUUCCUAUGGGGGCGUUCAACCAGUAAAGGAAAACCGCCCCUAGAGAGCAUGCGCACAACCUCAGUCAACUCACUACACAUGCAAUCACCCUCCUGAGUGCUGACCAACACUGCUGCAUGGGGCUGUUGAGCAACAGCCCGCCCCAAGGGAAGAACUGAGGGAGGAGAAGAGAAAACCCCAGAGCCGUGCCAAUGGAUAAACCCCACGCCCAGGGCUGAGCAGUCACUUGGAUCUCUCACGUGGCACACUCAGCCCUCUUCCAAGUAUACUUUAACUUCCUUUCACUCCUGCUCUAAAACUUUUUCAUAAACCCUCACUCCUGUUCUAACACGUGCCUCAAUCUCCCCCUCUGCCUUAAACCUACCUCUGCUCCAGAUUCUUUCCUCUGAGGAGGCAAGGAUGGAGUUGCUGCUGACCCGUGCAGAUUUGCUGCUGGUAACAUACUCAUGGGCAAAGUCUGAAAAACCUCUUCCUGCCCUGGGCAAGGCAGAUGGGGCAGCCCACCAGGCUGGCUUUGCCCACCGUCUCCGAUAUCAUCCAACACAGUCGGCCAGGUUGUGUGGCCCUCUCAUCUACAUUCUCAUUUGCCAACAAGAUGGUGUGGGCUAUGCUGUCUUUGCACAGCGAUCUGAUCCCAGGGACAUUUGUGUGGGUGUGUGCCCGGGAGCUGCAUGUCUGCAGGUUCAGAUCGGGGUCAGCUUUGCUGGAGAGUGUGGCUUCCUGCCAUGGCACCAAAGAAGAGGGCUGGCGGAUUAGUCCUGUUGUCUCUCAUAGCUUUGUAGGGACACAGCGGGCCAUGUGGACUGACAGCUGGACCCUUCAUAAAGAUGGCCUAGAAAAUUAGGACACCGUCCUGUUGACAAAGCCCCUAGGCCUGCCCCCAUCAGGCCUCAUGGGUCCUUUUCAGGCCUAAGCCAGGGUUCUGAAAUCAUCUGUAAUGUGAAUUUAUAUUUCUAGGCCACAUUCCCUGCAUCCUUUCCAGCAAGAUGUAAUUCUGAGAUUUUUGUCAUUCCUGGGCGUUAUCUUAUGAGGACUGCCAAGGGACACAAUGCCAUGGGAGGAAAGUUUUCUUCUAAGCUGCAAGCCAGCUCUGGCUUCUGGAGUUUCUCCUUAGGAUUGCAAGACAGUAGUUCCCUGUCCUUUAGGUCUUCUCCAGAAAUACCUUAAAAUAGCAAAUAAAAUAAGAUAUAAGCAAACAAAACCUG
This is a long non-coding RNA of Gorilla gorilla gorilla (western lowland gorilla), 2269 nucleotides long. RefSeq lists it as uncharacterized. The record is from RefSeq and is a predicted model, not a curated record. Lineage: Eukaryota; Metazoa; Chordata; Mammalia; Primates; Hominidae. The transcript is spliced from 5 exons.